Molecule: non-coding RNA, 113 nt
Organism: Acanthosepion pharaonis
Lineage: Eukaryota; Metazoa; Mollusca; Cephalopoda; Sepiida; Sepiidae
Source: the annotation of a GenBank genome assembly
UUAUGGCCACAUCAGGUUGAAACGCUAGUUCCCGUAUGAUCAGCGAAGUUAAGCAACGUCGAGCCUGGUCAGUAUCUAGAAGGAUGACCGCUUGCGAAAAUGAGGUGCUGUAA